This 253-nucleotide ribosomal RNA is filed under the name uncultured bacterium. Its description in RNAcentral is "partial 16S ribosomal RNA". It matches the Rfam family "Bacterial small subunit ribosomal RNA", at positions 524 to 776 of the family's 1533-position model. The record is from RNAcentral.
UACAGAGGGUGCAAGCGUUAAUCGGAAUUACUGGGCGUAAAGCGUGCGUAGUCGGUUAUUUAAGUCGGGUGUGAAAGCCCCGGGCUCAACCUGGGAAUUGCAUUCGAUACUGGAUAGCUAGAGUUCGGCAGAGGGAAGCGGAAUUUCCGGUGUAGCGGUGAAAUGCGUAGAUAUCAGGAGGAACACCAAUGGCGAAGGCAGCUCGCUGGGACGGUACUGACACUGAGACGCGAAAGCAUGGGGAGCGAACAGG